AAAGUCGUAACAAGGUUUCCGUAGGUGAACCUGCGGAAGGAUCAUCAACAAAUCUAAUACUGCCCUUUGGGCAAUAUACCAAUGUGAAUUGACUAGCUUGCUAGUUUGAUGAAUGCUUGAAAAAGCAUCAUAUUAACGAGUAUUAAAGAGUCUGUUUAAAAAAAUAUAAUCUUAUACAACUUUUAACAAUGGAUCUCUUGGCUCUU
Molecule: unclassified non-coding RNA, 206 nt
Filed under: Ascomycota sp.
Lineage: Eukaryota; Fungi; Ascomycota
Description: partial contains small subunit ribosomal RNA, internal transcribed spacer 1, and 5.8S ribosomal RNA
Rfam family: Eukaryotic small subunit ribosomal RNA (bases 1-47)
Source: RNAcentral